GAUCGAGGGAAUUUAAAAAAAAAAAAAGGAAAAGAGGAGGUGGAAUGAAGCCAUUGUCAAUACGAGUGUGAAAAAUAAGUGAGAAUCGGAUAAUUGUCAAAAUGAGCAUCCUUUGAGAUUCAUAUGAAAACGGCUCACAUUAAAACCCUUCUGGCGUGUGCGUGACGAGCAGCAGGGAGGUGCAGGUGUUUCUCCAAAAAGUGAGACAGUUUCCACACAUGCUGCCGCCUUAUCACCCAGCUCAGUAUUUAGCCUUUAAGUGAAAAAAAAGUAGCAUUCAUGCAAAAUUACUAUAAAAAAAAGCUGCUAGCAAGAGGACACAGGCUUUUAGAGAUCACAUGACACACUGUAUGUUGCAUAACUGUGCCACCAAAAGUCUUAAGACUUAACAGAUCUUAAAAAA
Oryzias melastigma (Indian medaka) is the source of this 403-nucleotide long non-coding RNA. RefSeq lists it as uncharacterized. Lineage: Eukaryota; Metazoa; Chordata; Actinopteri; Beloniformes; Adrianichthyidae. The transcript is spliced from 2 exons. The record is from RefSeq and is a predicted model, not a curated record.